Long non-coding RNA from Nicotiana attenuata, 741 nucleotides. RefSeq lists it as uncharacterized. The record is from RefSeq and is a predicted model, not a curated record. NCBI's taxonomy places the organism in Eukaryota, Viridiplantae, Streptophyta, Magnoliopsida, Solanales, Solanaceae. The transcript is spliced from 2 exons.
CCAAAACUGUCCUAUUGACCCUACCCCACCCCAAAGACCGCCCUUCUCCCCUCUCUCUCUCUCUCUCUCUCUCUCUCUCUUACCCCCACUGUUGUCCGCCCUAUUCCGCUGCCGGAAAUCACCUCACGGCGACGGACAGCCUCCAAACGGCUCCAAAUCUUCACCAAACAAUCCCCAUCCCCUCCUCUUUUAAAGACCCGUAAUCUCGUCUAUGAAAUCCCCACAGGUUUUUUCAAUUUUUAGAUCUGAGAUUUCUCAAAAAAUUUAAUUCGUCUUUUCCUCCAUUUUAAGUUUGUUGAUUUCGAAAUCAACAUCAGUCGAUAUCAAUCGAUGAUGAUGAUCUCGAAUUAACCGCAUGGCCGCCGGAGUUCCGUCUAACUUCCUUGACCUCUCUUACUGGCUGAUUUGGGUUCCGAGAUGUCGCUUCUUUACACACAUGACGGUGAAGGUGGAAUCAUGGGUUUCAAUUUGAAGUCAAAAGCAUGCGAAGAUUAUGAGUUAAUGAUUCGCAGCUUAUAUGUUGUAAUACUGUUUAGGUCCGGAAAAUAGAUGGUGUUUGGUUCAUAGAAAUGUCUCUUAGUAUGAGUGAGAAUUUGAACUAUUUCCCUUUGUUCCUUUUCGUGCUGUAGUGAUUUAGCUUGAAUAUUCAUGUAUUAAUGUUUAAGAAAGUCUGUAACUAAUUUUGCUCCUCCUGAUAUUUGCAAAUUAUAUUGAAAAGUCAUGUUGAUUGACUGGGUUGAA